Carassius gibelio (silver crucian carp) is the source of this 4377-nucleotide long non-coding RNA. RefSeq lists it as uncharacterized. Lineage: Eukaryota; Metazoa; Chordata; Actinopteri; Cypriniformes; Cyprinidae. The transcript is spliced from 2 exons. The record is from RefSeq and is a predicted model, not a curated record.
GCCGACUGAUAUUUUUUCACCCUCUGAGCAAAAAUAAAAAAACCUGUGCUGUUCCAUCCGUCUCGCUCUGGAUCAGCUAAGACUGUUGGAAAAGAAGCUCUUGAAAGAGGCCUACACCUACCGUCGAGGAUUAACACAUUAUUUACGUUUUAAAUACGAUUUGUAUGUAAUUCAAAUUAUUAACUUGCUUUUAUUUUGUAAGCUUAUUAACAUCCUUCGGACUAUUUUUUAUGAUUUCCUUACUUUAUUUGUGUUCUACGGGAAAAUGCAAGAAUCCACGAGGUCGAUUAGAAACAAUGGCGGGACGGCAUGCGCUUUUUUCGGUAUGAUCCGCUGGAAACUCCGCUGAAAGCCUGCGGCUUCGGACAGUGCUUUAUAAAUUAAAAUAAACAUUCGAGAGACGUUGUUAUUUUAAACAUUUGAUGUUUUUGUAACAAUUUUAAGAAUUAUUACGUUAUUGUAGCUCAAUGUAAAAUAAAAAGAAUAGACUUCUACAUCCAGGCCAUUGUGUUCUACAAAAAGGCGCUAGCCUAAGUUUUCUUGUUACCGAUAUUCAUAUAAAUAAUCGCAAAUCCAAUGUUUCGUAAACGGUUUAAUUUGAUUAUCUCAUAUUGUUUGUUGUUGUCGCUAGUGUAGAGUGUAGUUAUGAAUUUGUAGUAAUGUUACAUAGCGACUUCUAGUGAGCUUUUGCUUGUUAGCCGCCAUUCUUUGUGGAAUGGGAACAUUAACGGCACCCGUUUAAAGUUAUUUUCUUUGAAAUAUUAGUUUACACCGUCAAAAUAUUAGUGUAUAUAUUUGUGUAAUUGAGUACAUAGGUUUAUAUCAGGGCAAAGCAACAUUAUUCGGAUACAUAUUUAUAGAUUGAGUACAUUGUAGUUUACAGUGUAGAGAGAUGGUUGUGUAAAAAAAAAAAAAAAAAAAACCUUUUUAAGUUGUUUUUAUAGGUUCAGUCACAUUUUAUACUUGAUGUAGUCUCUUUGUUACAUAUUGAUAUAGACACCAGAAAUAUAUCAGACAGUCGUUUACACGAACAAUAACGACUUUGAUCGAUUUUUGCUAUUAAAAAAAGCUAUUUUCGUUGAUCUUGGUCCUGUCCUGGUCCUGUAUGGUUUCAGACGUAGAUGUGACUUUUUAACCGAUCAUGUGUUAGUUAACGUUAUAUCACGUUCAUGUUAGCCUGUUAGCAUUGAGCUUGGAUGGCUGUGCAUCUAUGUAUAUUAAAAAAAUACUGAGGUUCUCUAACUUUUGGAUUGGUUUCAGAUUAUACAAUAACACGGAUUUAUUAACACAAAAAGAUGAUUUGUAGCUGAAAAGACUUUGUUUAUAAGGGUUGUGUCUAUAAGGCUAAUCGGAUAAUGGAGUAAGAGCUUGGUUGUAAGCUAAUGUAUCAAACCCAAAUCGACUUCCGUGAAACCACAUGUAUCGGGAAAAUUAGCUUUACGGACGGUUUGUUUUAUAUCAAUAUGAGCUAUUGUUUCUGGAAACGGCUUUAAACCGGUUUUAAGUCCCGAUAUAUUUACAUUUAAAACGUCAGUGUUCUUGAAUGUGGAUGUUGUGUCGAAGUCUGAAUCGGGUCUCCCCUCUUAAAUCAGAACCUUGCUUAGAGUAAGACCAAAUGGGAUUCAUGUCGUAUUACGGCGGGUACAGUGGCGGAGAGAGGAAAUAAUAUGGAGUCGGGUGCUUGUGUACUUGGGCGGGUUUACAGGGCAGAAGGGAAGCGGAGUUGCGUAAUGCCAAUGCCUGAAGUGAAACGAGCCUCAGCUAGAGAUAACCUUAACAUUAGCCUUACGUUCACUUUGAAAACCGUCCAGAAAAACUAAUUAAUUUUGACAGUUUUCAAGGCAGUACCGUUAUCUCUCUCUCUCUCUCUGUAUAUAUAUAUAUAUAUAUAUAUAUAUAUAUAUAUAUAUAUAUAUAUAUAUAUAUAAAAAUCGGUGUAAUGGUCAUUUACUUGGGUCGUUGCAACAAGAAGGCUUUUUACUACACACUGUGCUUUACAGUACCAGUGUUGAAUAUCUCAUUUACAUUUUUAACCAAGUUAAGAUUAAAAUGGAUUAAAUGCUGCAAUUUAAAUUUUUUCUUGCUCUUUGGAGUGAAUGCACAAGCUCUUGGUGCAUAAACAAGGUCUGUAAAGUUGGAAAGACUAAAGUCUCAAAUCCAAAGAGAGAUUCUUUAUAGAAGUUAAAUCAAAUGCUAAAAUGGCUCAGUUUAACAUGCCCCCCCCCCCCUCCCCAUAUGGUAAGAUUUGCAUAAUGCAGCCCAAAAUUUCACGCAAUGUAAGGAGGAAUGACUUUUAGUGCGCUUUCACAUUAACACUUUUGGUUCGCAUCCGGAUUCGAUUGACGUCAGAGUUCGGUUCGUUUGGAUGAUGUGAACGCUGUCUUCCGAACUUGGGUGGGCGCCGCGAAACUCGGGUUCUGACCAGGCAAGUGAACCAAGUGUGAAAGCACCAUUAUUCUCACUGCAGUAUAGCUGCCGCCAUUGUAAAAGUGAAAUUACUUAGUUUAGCAUUUCAAAAGAGGGCACAACUUGAAAUCAGUGGUUAAGUUACAUUACAUUUGUUACAUAAGUUACGUAUUUACAACACUGUUCCAGAACAGUUCAACCCGAACAUUCAGAUGUUUGCAGUGCAUUUUAUGAAGGAAGAGGACUGUUUCUUGAGAGAGUAGCCUACAAUGCUAGUUUUAAAGGGGUCCUAUGAUGUUUUUUUUUUUAAGUUUUUAUGUUGUUUAUUUGGUGAAACAGAAUAUGUUGACAUGCUUUAAUGUUCAAAAAACGCGUUAUUUUUCAAAUACUGUAUAUUAUAGUAGGUCCUCUAUGCCCCGCCUCUCUCCAACACGUAGUUUUCUACAGAGUCCCACCCACUGACAAGCGCAGGCUGCUCUGUUGGCCAACUGAUCCAGUGCAUUGUGAUUGGCCAAACACCGCAAGCACACGUCGGAAAUGUAAUGCCCCUUUCCAUGAUUGCAUGCUUCAUCUUUUAAAAUAAAUGUUAAAGACAGUUGAUGGUGUACAAUAACAACUUUGUGAGGACAGUCUGGCACUUCUGACUUACAGCCUGUAAGUACAUUUACAUAUUUAAAUAAUUUGCCACUGACGAUUCAAACAUGAGUUUUGAGCAGUGUAGUGUAGCGCUUGUUUUUCAUUUCUCUGAUCACAAAUGCAGACAUGGUUUUAUGUUUAUGCAGCGCAAUAAGCAACCUGGAAAAAGACAAUAUAAGUCAUCAUAAUCAAUAAUUAUGUCCCACUGGAGGCAGCAAAUGCCUCAUUUGUAAUGGGUUUUACUGGUUUUGUCUCAUCAUGUGGGGAGACAGCAUGUACGGUUAGGGGCCAGUGUUGCCAGAUUGGAUGGACGAUUUCCAGCCCAAAACCUCACCAAACCCCAGCCACUCCAAAAACUGUCAAAAUAAUGUGAUGGAAUAUAUCCCUAGUGAUUGGCUAAAAGUAUGGCCUUGACAUCAACUUCAGCAUCAGCACCUCUGCACUGCAGUGUGCCUGUGUUUAUAACUUUGUGAUGACUCUUUGGAUGCAGUAUACCUCACACAUUUGGGCUUGUUUGUUAGCCAAUUAGCCUAUACAAUUUAUAUGUUUGAAAACCGCCAAAUUUUGUUCACGGGCCCAAGCCAGUUUUUACCUGCACAAUCAAAUUCAAAAGCAAACCCGUCCAAUCUGGCAACACUGUUAGGGAUGUAACAUUUCCAUCACAAGCUUGAGGUAUUUGGCCAAUCACAACGCCCUGGACAGCUGGCCAAUCAGAGCACACCUCAGUUUUCAGAACAAUGAGCUUUGUAAAAAUUCAAGGAGUUUCAGAUAGGUGGAGCAUUAGAGGAGAAACAUUAUGUGGAAAAUGUAUUUUUAUUUAUUUUAAUCUUGAGCCGCAUAAACCUGUUGCACUACACCAAAUACACCAAAUAAUGUUAUUUUUAGCAACAUCAUAUGAGCCCUCUUAAUUGUUGAAGGGAUAAUUCACUCAAAAACAAAAGUUCUAUAAUUUAUGUUGUUUUAAACCUGUAUGACCUUCUUCUAUGGAGCACAAAAUAAUUUAAAUUUUAGAGGUUGAUAUGAAUCAAAAGACACGCUAACAUUAACUCUACCUUGGUUACGACUCUUUUGUAAUUUGAAGAUAAAUCACAUAUUUGAAAUGCUGUGAAAGUGAAUACAUGUGUGAGCUGUCACUGUCACUUUAAAGAAGUUGUGUUUGACAAUGUCAGAUUGGGAAGGUUUGCUUUUAAGUGGCUUAUUUCGUUUUAGUGAACGUAGAUUUUCAUCAACACACAUUUGGACACAUUUAUAUCACAUAGCUUAACGCUGACUGUUUUCAAUGAUUCUGAUGUAAAAUUCAUGUAUUAUGUGUAAAUAAAGUAUAUUUGCAGUGUA